GAUGAACGCUGGCGGCGUGCCUAAUACAUGCAAGUCGAGCGAACAGACGAGGAGCUUGCUCCUUUGACGUUAGCGGCGGACGGGUGAGUAACACGUGGAUAACCUACCUAUAAGACUGGGAUAACUUCGGGAAACCGGAGCUAAUACCGGAUAAUAUUUCGAACCGCAUGGUUCGAUAGUGAAAGACGGCCUUGCUAUCACUUAUAGAUGGACCUGCGCCGCAUUAGCUAGUUGGUAAGGUAACGGCUUACCAAGGCAACGAUACGUAGCCGACCUGAGAGGGUGAUCGGCCACACUGGAACUGAGACACGGUCCAGACUCCUACGGGAGGCAGCAGUAGGGAAUCUUCCGCAAUGGGCGAAAGCCUGACGGAGCAACGCCGCGUGAGUGAUGAAGGUCUUCGGAUCGUAAAACUCUGUUAUUAGGGAAGAACAAACGUGUAAGUAACUGUGCACGUCUUGACGGUACCUAAUCAGAAAGCCACGGCUAACUACGUG
This 497-nucleotide ribosomal RNA is filed under the name uncultured bacterium. RNAcentral describes it as "partial 16S ribosomal RNA". It matches the Rfam family "Bacterial small subunit ribosomal RNA", at positions 28 to 507 of the family's 1533-position model. The record is from RNAcentral.